CGGCGGACGGGUGAGUAACGCGUGGGUAACCUGCCUCAUACAGGGGGAUAACAGUUAGAAAUGACUGCUAAUACCGCAUAAGCGCACAGUACCGCAUGGUACGGUGUGAAAAACUCCGGUGGUAUGAGAUGGACCCGCGUCUGAUUAGCUAGUUGGUGGGGUAACGGCCCACCAAGGCGACGAUCAGUAGCCGACCUGAGAGGGUGACCGGCCACAUUGGGACUGAGACACGGCCCAA
RNAcentral lists this ribosomal RNA (238 nucleotides) under uncultured bacterium. Its description in RNAcentral is "partial 16S ribosomal RNA". It matches the Rfam family "Bacterial small subunit ribosomal RNA", at positions 96 to 334 of the family's 1533-position model. The record is from RNAcentral.